RNAcentral lists this long non-coding RNA (1367 nucleotides) under Oryzias sinensis (Chinese medaka). RNAcentral's name for it is "lncRNA (ENSOSIG00000016414.1)". Lineage: Eukaryota; Metazoa; Chordata; Actinopteri; Beloniformes; Adrianichthyidae. The record is from RNAcentral.
CUCAAAUUCAUCUUUGGAGUUUGUUAAUUUGCUCACCAGCCCCUCAUACCCUUUAACUGAGUUUUUACAUUUGACCUCCUUUAUUUUUCUGGACCCCUGUGCUGGGGACAAUAAACAUGAGGAUUGUGUUCUCAUUUAGUUUUUUUUUUUUUUUUUUUUUGGUUUUGUUAGUUCUCCACAUGCUUUCUUCUCAGGUCAGUCACCAGAUGUAAGUUGCUAAUUAUCCACAGCUGUCUUCAUUUAAGCUAAUCAGCCUGCCUCUCCUUUUCAGCUCAUCCCUGUCAGGUUAUCUGCUGCUCUGUUAGUCUUUUUGGUUCAGCAUUGGGCAGAAGUUUGUUCAGAUUUGGGGAUUUCUCAAAUCCUUUGUCCUUUGCUUAAAGAUGGCAGGAAAUAUCUCUGACUCAAAUGCAUGCAGCUUUCAGAAGCUUGAUUUAGAUCAACUCUGCCCCACAAUGAAACAAAAGAAUUAUACUGGUGUUUUUGAACCCAAGAAUGCUGUGUGUAAAGCAGGUGUCCUCUGGCUGUGCUGGCCUCUUUGAAGGCUCCUCUGCCAUAAUGGAAUCACUCCAUACACUUCUUGGACGGAGCACGGAGACGCAGAAAUUCAGCACUGAUAAAGAUCCCUCUGACUCUCAUUUCAUAAGUCUUCCAUUAGAUACAAAGCUGCACAGAUUAGAUAUGUCACUCCUCCCCUAUCCCUGGAACACAAAAGUCCUCGCAAAAUUGAGAAAAAAAAAAGAUUUAAUUUAAAUGCUAUUCAAGUGUGGGUGAACAAAAAGGGGAAGAAUGCUUUCCCUUUUUUUUCCCUAAAAGUCAAGUUUUUCUUUAGAAAUCAGCAAACACACACAAAAAAGGAAAGUCAUAGGUCACCCACAAUUAAAGUUUAGUUCUCGUCUUUUUUAAGAAUGUUUUGUUUUAAGAUUUUGUUCCAUUAUCUAAAAAACACUUUAUAAUAGCCCCUAAUCACAAAAAUGUUUAUGACUUUUUCUCUGUGUUUUGAGUUUUUUUUAAUUGUUUGUGAUUGAAAUAGUGUCACUUGCAUGUAUGUGCCCUCUUGCUUUGCGCUUCCUCCUUCCUGUCUCUUUGAAUUUGCUAAAAUCUACUUUGCUCCAGAUGUUUCUUCUGCUUUUUUCCCCCCAGCAUUUUCGUCUUUUUAAUAUUCAAUUUGAUCAAAGUUUUAGAAUCUAAAACCCAAACCUGUGUGUCUGCUGUCAUUGUAUACUGUGGUUAAAAAAAAAUAACAUUCAGUUUUAGAACAGCAUGUGACUGCAACGUCAUUGCAACAAGCACAUUGGUUAAGUUUGGAGCUGUAUUUAUAGUUUGACCCAAAAAAAUAAAACCUGGUAAAACAAAUUCCCUUACAGCAG